UACAGAGGGGGCAAGCGUUGUUCGGAAUUACUGGGCGUAAAGGGCGCGUAGGCGGCCUGCUAAGUCGAACGUGAAAUCCCUGGGCUCAACCCAGGAACUGCGUCCGAUACUGGUUGGCUUGAAUCCGGGAGAGGGAUGUGGAAUUCCAGGUGUAGCGGUGAAAUGCGUAGAUAUCUGGAGGAACACCGGUGGCGAAGGCGACAUCCUGGACCGGUAUUGACGCUGCGGAGCGAAAGCCAGGGGAGCAAACGGG
RNAcentral lists this ribosomal RNA (253 nucleotides) under uncultured bacterium. Its description in RNAcentral is "partial 16S ribosomal RNA". It matches the Rfam family "Bacterial small subunit ribosomal RNA", at positions 524 to 776 of the family's 1533-position model. The record is from RNAcentral.